This 73-nucleotide transfer RNA is filed under the name Camelus bactrianus (Bactrian camel). It matches the Rfam family "tRNA". Rfam says of the family: Transfer RNA (tRNA) molecules are approximately 80 nucleotides in length. Their secondary structure includes four short double-helical elements and three loops (D, anti-codon, and T loops). The record is from Rfam by way of RNAcentral. Lineage: Eukaryota; Metazoa; Chordata; Mammalia; Artiodactyla; Camelidae. RNAcentral also lists the same sequence under 3 other names.
GAGAGUAUAGCUCAAAUGGUAGAGUGCAUGCUUAGCAUGCACAAGGUCCUGGGUUCAAUCCCCAGCACCUCCA